CAGUAUGAACCAGUACAGACCAGUAUGGACCAGUAGGAGUCAAUAUAAAACCGAUUAUGAACCAGUAUGGACCAGUAUCAGCUAGAAGCAUGGGCCAUUAGGCAUCAGUAUGGAUGAGCAUGAACCAGUAUGGACCAGUAUGGACCAGUAUAAACCAGCAUGGACCAGUGUAAAACAGUACGGACCAGUAGGAACUAGUAUGGACCAGUAUGAACCAGUAUAAUCCAGUACAGACCAGUACAGACCAGUACAGCUGCCCAGGACACUGCUGUACCCUCCCAGUGCCUUCCCAGUUCCCUCCCAGUCCAUUCCAUUCCCCCCCAGUCCCCUCCCAGUCCCUCCCAGUGCCCCCCAGUCCCUCCCAAUCCCCUCCCAGCCCCUCCCAGUCCCUUCCCAGUAUGGACCAGUAACCCCCAAUUCCCUCCCCGUCUCCUUCCAGUCCCUCCCAGUGCCCCCCAUUCCAUUCUAACACCCCCCAGUUCCCUCCCAGUGCCCCCCAGUCCCUCCCAAUCCCCUCCCAGCCCCUCCCAGUCCCUCCCAGUGCUCCCAGUUCCCCCACCUGCCCCUCCACGGUGGUUCCCAGUAACACGAAGAGCUCUCCCAGUUCGCGCAGGCCCCGCUCCAGCCGCAGCAGCUCCUGGUGCCGCGCCGUCACCUCGUCCAGCGCCGCCCGCGUCGCCCGCGCCGCCCCCAGCACCUGCGCCAGCACCCAUGGGUGCCCCCCUGACACCCAUGGGUGCCCCCGACCCCCACCCGGACUCCCCCCGACGCCCAUGGGUGCCCCCCGACGCCCAGGGGUGGCCCCCCGAGACCCAGGGGUGCGCCCGUUGUCCCGGUGUCUGAGUGGUGGUGGGGGUGGGGAGGGGCACCCAUGGGUGCUACUGGGCACCCAUGGGUGCUAUAGGGCAGGUAGGGGACCCUUGGAUGUGUAUGGGUGCUACUGGGCACCCAUGGGUGCUACUGGGAAGGUGUGGGACCUCUGGGCACCCAUGGGUGCUAUAGGGCAGGUAGGGGACCUCUGGAUGUGUAUGGGUGCUACUGGGCACCCAUGGGUGCUACUGGAGCCCUGUAAGACCUUGAGGGACCCAUGGGUGCUACGGGACACCCAUGGGUGCUAUAGGGCAUCCUUGGCCCCUUUGGGUCCCUAUGGGUGCCCCCGGCUACCUAUGGCACCCAUGGGUGCUGGGGGGGACCUAUGGGUGCUAUGGGGCACCCAUGGGUGCUACGGGACACCCAUGGGUGCUAUAGGGCACCCUUGGCCCCUUUGGGUGCCACCAGCUACCUAUGGCACCCAUGGGUGCUGGGGGGGGGCGGUGGGACCUGUGCCCCCCCCCAGCCCCACCCCCCCCCCCCCGCCCCCCUGGGGCCCCCCCCCCCCCACCCCAGCACCCAUGGGUGCCCCCCUCACGUUGGAGACGAAGACUUCGCUCUGCCCCGUCUCCAGCAUCUCCUCCAGCUCCUCGUCCGUCACCGCCGAAUU
Molecule: long non-coding RNA, 1480 nt
Filed under: Anas platyrhynchos platyrhynchos (common mallard)
Lineage: Eukaryota; Metazoa; Chordata; Aves; Anseriformes; Anatidae
Description: lncRNA (ENSAPLG00000026361.1)
Source: RNAcentral